UACGUAGGGGGCAAGCGUUGUCCGGAAUCAUUGGGCGUAAAGCGCGUGUAGGCGGUUCGGUAAGUCUGCUGUGAAAGUCCAGGGCUCAACCCUGGGAUGCCGGUGGAUACUGUCGGACUAGAGUACGGAAGAGGCGAGUGGAAUUCCCGGUGUAGCGGUGAAAUGCGCAGAUAUCAGGAGGAACACCGGUGGCGAAGGCGGGUCUCUGGGCGUGACACUGACGCUGAAGCGCGAAAGCCAGGGGAGCGAACGGG
Molecule: ribosomal RNA, 254 nt
Filed under: uncultured bacterium
Lineage: Bacteria
Description: partial 16S ribosomal RNA
Rfam family: Bacterial small subunit ribosomal RNA
Source: RNAcentral